UACGUAGGGUGCAAGCGUUGUCCGGAAUUAUUGGGCGUGAAGAGCUCGUAGGCGGUCUGUCGCGUCUGCUGUGAAAACUCGGGGCUUAACCCCGGGCCUGCAGUGGGUACGGGCAGACUAGAGUGCGGUAGGGGAGACUGGAAUUCCUGGUGUAGCGGUGAAAUGCGCAGAUAUCAGGAGGAACACCGGGGGCGAAGGCGGGUCUCUGGGCAUUAACUGACGCUGAGGAGCGAAAGCAUGGGGAGCGAACAGG
This 253-nucleotide ribosomal RNA is filed under the name uncultured bacterium. RNAcentral describes it as "partial 16S ribosomal RNA". It matches the Rfam family "Bacterial small subunit ribosomal RNA", at positions 524 to 776 of the family's 1533-position model. The record is from RNAcentral.